Molecule: ribosomal RNA, 198 nt
Filed under: Boletus edulis
Lineage: Eukaryota; Fungi; Basidiomycota; Agaricomycetes; Boletales; Boletaceae
Description: partial 28S ribosomal RNA
Rfam family: Eukaryotic large subunit ribosomal RNA
Source: RNAcentral
UGACCUCAAAUCAGGUAGGACUACCCGCUGAACUUAAGCAUAUCAAUAAGCGGAGGAAAAGAAACUAACAAGGAUUCCCCUAGUAACUGCGAGUGAAGCGGGAAAAGCUCAAAUUUUGAAUCUGGCAGUCUUUGCAGGCCGUCCGAGUUGUAAUCUAGAGAAGCGUCUUCCGCGCUGGACCGUGUACAAGUCUCCUGA